This 678-nucleotide long non-coding RNA is filed under the name Mustela putorius furo (domestic ferret). Its description in RNAcentral is "lncRNA (ENSMPUG00000030465.1)". The record is from RNAcentral. Lineage: Eukaryota; Metazoa; Chordata; Mammalia; Carnivora; Mustelidae.
GUGCAAACCCCUACUAAAUGAAAAACAGGAACAAAUUGCAAACUAACCACAUAGCAAGUAAGCCUAGACCAUAUGCGUGUAGUGAUAAGAUUAGCGUGGAGUAAAAAGUUGUAAAUAUUUUUAACUUAUGCGAAAUAUCAUAGACCAAAACAUGUUUUCGACAUGUGUGUGUUUUUGGUGUGUAAGCAUGAGAAAAAUAAGUGAUGUAAUGUGUUUUUGAAGGAGACUUAGCACAGUAUAUAAAGAGGCAUCGGAUUGGACUGAGGUGAAGCGAGUUCCCUGUCGGGAGGACAUCAUCUCCGGUGCUACCGACGCCCUGACAGCUUCGUUGCCGACCACUCGCUGGUUCUCCGUCUCAACUUCUGCGGUGACCUCUCUGUCUAGAUUGUGAGGCGACAUCUCCUUCUCUGUGACAACGUCAGCGGACCGUGACCGGACCACGAUAGUGGUGUGGACCUCGUCCCAAUAAAGACCAAAUUUUAUUUAUUUAUUUGACAGAGAGAGGGAGCACAAACAGGAGGAGUGGCAGGCAGGUAGAGAGAGAAGGAGAAGCGGGCUCCCUGCCGAACAGGGAGCCUGACGUGGGACUCAAACCCAGGUCCCUGGGACUACAACCUGGGUUGAAGACAGACGCCCAACUGACUGAGCCACGCAGGUGCCCCCAUUCUUUACUUUCAC